This 253-nucleotide ribosomal RNA is filed under the name uncultured bacterium. Its description in RNAcentral is "partial 16S ribosomal RNA". It matches the Rfam family "Bacterial small subunit ribosomal RNA", at positions 524 to 776 of the family's 1533-position model. The record is from RNAcentral.
UACGGAGGACCCGAGCGUUAUCCGGAUUCAUUGGGUUUAAAGGGUGCGUAGGCGGACCUGUAAGUCAGUGGUGAAAGCCCUUCGCUUAACGAAGGAACUGCCAUUGAUACUGCUGGUCUUGAGUACAGUUGAGGUGGGCGGAAUGUGUCGUGUAGCGGUGAAAUGCAUAGAUAUGACACAGAACACCGAUUGCGAAGGCAGCUCGCUAAACUGUAACUGACGCUGAGGCACGAAAGCGUGGGUAGCAAACAGG